GACGAACGCUGGCGGCGUGCUUAACACAUGCAAGUCGAACGAAGUGGCGAACGGGUGAGUAACGCGUAAUCAACCUGCCCUUCAGAGGGGGACAACAGUUGGAAACGACUGCUAAUACCGCAUACUGAAGGUGGGGAUUGCGUCUGAUUAGCUAGUUGGAGGGGUAACGGCCCACAAAGGCGAUGAUCAGUAGCCGGGCUGAGGGGGUGAACGGCCAAAUUGGGACGGAGACACGGCCCAGAAUCCUACGGGAGGCAGCAGGGGGGAAUCUGCCGCAAUGGACGAAAGUCUGACGGAGCAACGCCGCGUGAGUGAUGACGGCCUUCGGGUUGUAAAGUUCUGUUAAUCGGGACGCGGUACCGGAAUAGAAAGCCACGGCUAACUACGUGCCAGCAGCCGCGGUAAUUC
Molecule: ribosomal RNA, 408 nt
Filed under: uncultured bacterium
Lineage: Bacteria
Description: partial 16S ribosomal RNA
Rfam family: Bacterial small subunit ribosomal RNA
Source: RNAcentral